This 70-nucleotide non-coding RNA is filed under the name unclassified sequences. RNAcentral describes it as "RAGATH-18 RNA". It matches the Rfam family "RAGATH-18 RNA". Rfam says of the family: Actinobacteria, Firmicutes, Fusobacteria, Thermotogae (1 example). The record is from Rfam by way of RNAcentral.
CCCUUGGAGUGUUACAGCAAACGAAAGUAGUAUAUGAAAAUAUACCAAAUCGGACACGAUGAACAGGGAA